AGCCGCUCCCCUCAGCCGCUCCCCUCAGCCGCUCCCCUCAGCCAGCCCCUUCGGCCGCCCCUACCCUCAGCACCGUGGGGGUUGCGACGUACGGGAGGGCCCCUUGCCGCCCUCGGAAUGAGGGGGAAGCAGUGACACUCAGCUGGAUGCAUGUCCAACCGGAUGGAAAGACAGGUGUUGCAAGGCAUGGGACUGUGUGACAGCCACCCUGUCUCACCAAAUGUUGAUAUUCCUGCGUUGUUGACAAGUCCCCAGAAACCUAGAGAAGAGAAAUGUCUCAACAAGUACCUUUCACUGCAAAACAAACACCAUCGGACGGCAAAGGAACAUUGGCGAUUUGGGCCCUUGGAAACAUUUUAGUUGUGUUUUCUUUUAGUCUUUCUAUUUCUAUGUGCAGGUGUGUUUGUUUAAUGAAGGAAUGUAAUUGUGGCCAUUAGCUGGACUAUUGUAUGGUUUAAGCCCCGCCAGCAGCUAAGUGCCAAGAAGCCACACACUCCUCCCCUCUCUUAGCGGACUGGAGAGGAGAAUCACAAAAAAAAUUAACACUCAUGAGAUAAGGACAGUUUAAGCACUAAAAUAAUAAUAAUAAAACAUAAUAAUGAUUGUAAUAAAAAAGUAUGUAACAAAAAAAGACAAUAAUACAAUCCAACUAAAGGCAAAUGAUGCACAAUGCAGUUGUUUACCACCUACACACCAAUGCUUAAGCUGCCCCUAUUGGCCAACCCCCCCAAGCCCUUCAGUUUAUAUGCUAAGUAUGACAUGCCAUGGUAUGGAAUAUCCUUUUGGCUUUGUACCUCCUUGCUGGCAGAGUAAGGGAAACUGAAAAAACUUUGACUUAGGAUAAGCACUACUUAGCAACAGCUACAGUAUCAGUGUGCUAUCAACAUUAUUCUCCCACUGACCCCAAAACACGCCACUGUACAAGCUGCUAGGAAGAAAAUUAACUCAUUCCCAGCUGAAACCAGGAGAACCAUGUAAGUCUCACUGCUAUGUAAUAAUCACUCACUUUAUAGUUGUCUUAAGAUAUUUAUGAAAAACAUGAUCUGGGAGACUACAUAUAACUGCCACUGCAGUGUACUAUGAUAUGCUAUGUUAAUUACUUAAAUACCACUGUGAGAAGCUUUGUGAAAAUUAUAUUAAGCAGUGUAAUGGCUAAGGGGUAAUCUUAGUGCUUGACUAAUUUAGGAGCCCAAGUUCUGGCUCCUUUUCCCAGUAUUUGUCCUUGAAUUCCUUCUUGAAAUCAGCCAGAAUCAGGUACAUGGGUGCA
Long non-coding RNA from Pogoniulus pusillus (Red-fronted tinkerbird), 1267 nucleotides. RefSeq lists it as uncharacterized. The record is from RefSeq and is a predicted model, not a curated record. Lineage: Eukaryota; Metazoa; Chordata; Aves; Piciformes; Lybiidae. The transcript is spliced from 3 exons.